GAUGAACGCUGGCGGCGUGCCUAAUACAUGCAAGUCGAGCGAACGGACGAGAAGCUUGCUUUUCUGAUGUUAGCGGCGGACGGGUGAGUAACACGUGGAUAACCUACCUAUAAGACUGGGAUAACUUCGGGAAACCGGAGCUAAUACCGGAUAAUAUUUUGAACCGCAUGGUUCAAAAGUGAAAGACGGUCUUGCUGUCACGUAUAGAUGGAUCCGCGCUGCAUUAGCUAGUUGGUAAGGUAACGGCUUACCAAGGCAACGAUGCAUAGCCGACCUGAGAGGGUGAUCGGCCACACUGGAACUGAGACACGGUCCAGACUCCUACGGGAGGCAGCAGUAGGGAAUCUUCCGCAAUGGGCGAAAGCCUGACGGAGCAACGCCGAGUGAGUGAUGAAGGUCUUCGGAUCGUAAAACUCUGUUAUUAGGGAAGAACAUAUGUGUAAGUAACUGUGCACAUCUUGACGGUACCUAAUCAGAAAGCCACGGCUAACUACGUG
RNAcentral lists this ribosomal RNA (497 nucleotides) under uncultured bacterium. Its description in RNAcentral is "partial 16S ribosomal RNA". It matches the Rfam family "Bacterial small subunit ribosomal RNA", at positions 28 to 507 of the family's 1533-position model. The record is from RNAcentral.